This 465-nucleotide ribosomal RNA is filed under the name uncultured bacterium. RNAcentral's name for it is "partial 16S ribosomal RNA". It matches the Rfam family "Bacterial small subunit ribosomal RNA", at positions 28 to 507 of the family's 1533-position model. The record is from RNAcentral.
GAUGAACGCUGGCGGCGUGCUUAACACAUGCAAGUCGAACGGAAAGGCUCCUGCUUGCAGGGGUACUCGAGUGGCGAACGGGUGAGUAACACGUGGGUGAUCUGCCCUGCACUUCGGGAUAAGCCUGGGAAACUGGGUCUAAUACCGGAUAGGACCACAUUUUGGAUGGUGUGGUGGAAAGUUUUUCGGUGUGGGAUGAGCUCGCGGCCUAUCAGCUUGUUGGUGGGGUAAUGGCCUACCAAGGCGUCGACGGGUAGCCGGCCUGAGAGGGUGUACGGCCACAUUGGGACUGAGAUACGGCCCAGACUCCUACGGGAGGCAGCAGUGGGGAAUAUUGCACAAUGGGCGCAAGCCUGAUGCAGCGACGCCGCGUGGGGGAUGACGGCCUUCGGGUUGUAAACUCCUUUCGCUAGGGACGAAGCGCAAGUGACGGCACCUGGAGAAGAAGCACCGGCUAACUACGUG